Molecule: ribosomal RNA, 275 nt
Filed under: uncultured bacterium
Lineage: Bacteria
Description: partial 16S ribosomal RNA
Rfam family: Bacterial small subunit ribosomal RNA
Source: RNAcentral
AUACGGAGGGUGCGAGCGUUGUCCGGAAUCACUGGGCGUAAAGCGCGCGUAGGCGGCGUGGUAAGUCAGGUGAGAAAUCCCGGGGCUCAACUCCGGGCCUGCAUCCGAUACUGCCAAGCUAGAGCACGGUAGGGGCGAGUGGAAUCCCCGGUGUAGCGGUGGAAUGCGUAGAUAUCGGGAAGAACACCGGUGGCGAAGGCGGCUCGCUGGGCCGGUGCUGACGCUGAGGCGCGAAAGCGUGGGGAGCAAACAGGAUUAGAAACCCCCGGUAGUCC